CCUACGGGUGGCUGCAGUGGGGAAUAUUGCACAAUGGGCGCAAGCCUGAUGCAGCCAUGCCGCGUGUGUGAAGGAGGCCUUCGGGUUGUAAAGCACUUUCAGCGGGGAGGAAGGCGUUAAGGUUAAUAACCUUGUCGAUUGACGUUACCCGCAGAAGAAGCACCGGCUAACUCCGUGCCAGCAGCCGCGGUAAUACGGAGGGUGCAAGCGUUAAUCGGAAUUACUGGGCGUAAAGCGCACGCAGGCGGUCUGUCAAGUCGGAUGUGAAAUCCCCGGGCUCAACCUGGGAACUGCAUUCGAAACUGGCAGGCUAGAGUCUUGUAGAGGGGGGUAGAAUUCCAGGUGUAGCGGUGAAAUGCGUAGAGAUCUGGAGGAAUACCGGUGGCGAAGGCGGCCCCCUGGACAAAGACUGACGCUCAGGUGCGAAAGCGUGGGGAGCAAACAGGAUUAGAUACCCGAGUAGUC
This 465-nucleotide ribosomal RNA is filed under the name uncultured Klebsiella sp. RNAcentral describes it as "bacterial SSU rRNA". It matches the Rfam family "Bacterial small subunit ribosomal RNA", at positions 338 to 795 of the family's 1533-position model. Lineage: Bacteria; Pseudomonadati; Pseudomonadota; Gammaproteobacteria; Enterobacterales; Enterobacteriaceae. The record is from RNAcentral.